Molecule: long non-coding RNA, 683 nt
Organism: Chelonia mydas (Green sea turtle)
Lineage: Eukaryota; Metazoa; Chordata; Testudines; Cheloniidae
Exons: 3
Source: RefSeq, a predicted model, not a curated record
CCGCCUUCUGGCCUCCCACCCCUCCCGACCCUGUUUCAAAGAAGCAACACUUUGGGGCAGUCAUCUGUUUACUUUCUGGACUCAAGAUUUGCUAAAAUGUAUUUCGAUGGACAAAGCAACGCAGAGUAAAAGAACAGAGACUGGCAGGCUGCAUGGACUACUGGCACCGAUCUUCCUUGAGGAAGUUUUGAGAUCCUUGCUGGAUGUACCUGUCUGAAGUGCCAAUGCCCAGAGGCCCCCAACCAAGAUCAGAGCUCCAUUACGCUAGGCGCUGUUCGUACAUGUGGUGAGAGACAGUCCCGGCUCCAAACACAGAGGAAGUGACUUCUCUGGGUGUGGCAGAACCAAAACCAGACCCCAUUGUGGGGUAAAGCCUCCCGAAUCCUGGUCCAGCUGCCACACUCGCACUGAAUGGGCAAGACUGUCUUCUGCAGUGGGCCUUCGCUUCAAGUGGAAAUGCUAACAAUGAAACAAUAGCUGACGGGAUACUCUUUAACUGCCUCUUUUACUCCUCCCUUCACCCCGCCUCCUGCCGCCACCCAGGCAUGGUGAACCCAAGGAAACUGUCAAAACACCUUGGAGAGUCAUUGAAUUUGAUCUGAUUUUAUCUUUCUGUGAUGCCACUGUGUUACAUAUAUCAAGACAGGUUUCAGAGUAGCAGCUGUGUUAGUCUGCAUUCGCAA